Molecule: transfer RNA, 71 nt
Filed under: Cheilio inermis
Lineage: Eukaryota; Metazoa; Chordata; Actinopteri; Labriformes; Labridae
Description: tRNA-Gly
Rfam family: tRNA
About the family: Transfer RNA (tRNA) molecules are approximately 80 nucleotides in length. Their secondary structure includes four short double-helical elements and three loops (D, anti-codon, and T loops).
Source: RNAcentral
GCCUUUCUAGUACAAAGUUAGUAUAGGUGACUUCCAAUCAUCUGGUCUUGGUUAGACCCCAAGGAAAGACA